Molecule: long non-coding RNA, 354 nt
Filed under: Homo sapiens (human)
Lineage: Eukaryota; Metazoa; Chordata; Mammalia; Primates; Hominidae
Description: LNC_000408
Source: RNAcentral
CAUAGCUGCAGAAUAUUCGGACCCUCUAGUCCCAGCCGCCCAGUGAACUUGAGCUGUGUGACCUUGAGCAAAAGGCAAAAUGUUUCUGAUUUUCAGUCCCCUCAUCUGGAAAAGGAGGAGGCUGUGGGACAUGAUGAUCUUUGAAAGUCUAAUAAUGAAACAAACAGAAAACCUGUGCUUCUAAGUUGGUGAGUCUGGAAAGGCUUGGUGUACAGUUGAUGUCUAGAAUAUAUUAACAGAAGGCUGCCCUGUAGAAGUUUUGAGUUAAUGGUUUCCAUCAACGCAGGAGUGGAAGAAGCUACUGGGGAUCAGGAAUCAGAAGUCCUGGCUUUAAGCCCUAGCUUUAGCCCUCAC